UGGUAUCCUUACUUUCAGUGUCAUCAAAAAUGGCUGAAGAAAGAUAUAUUUGCAUUUGAAGCGUAUCACAGCCAGCUUUGAUGGGCAUUGCAAUGAGCAUCGA
This 103-nucleotide microRNA precursor is filed under the name Drosophila persimilis. RNAcentral's name for it is "microRNA dpe-mir-2c precursor". Its record names the gene dpe-mir-2c. The stretch from base 17 to 90 matches the Rfam family "mir-2 microRNA precursor family". From Rfam's summary of the family: The miRNAs are transcribed as ~70nt precursors (modelled here) and subsequently processed by the Dicer enzyme to give a ~22nt product. In this case the mature sequence comes from the 3' arm of the precursor. The record is from miRBase by way of RNAcentral. Lineage: Eukaryota; Metazoa; Arthropoda; Insecta; Diptera; Drosophilidae. RNAcentral also lists the same sequence under 1 other name.